This 533-nucleotide ribosomal RNA is filed under the name Millepora laboreli. RNAcentral's name for it is "partial 16S ribosomal RNA". It matches the Rfam family "Bacterial large subunit ribosomal RNA", at positions 1860 to 2568 of the family's 2925-position model. Lineage: Eukaryota; Metazoa; Cnidaria; Hydrozoa; Anthoathecata; Milleporidae. The record is from RNAcentral.
UGCCCAGUGGUUUACGAGUUAAGAAAUAAAAUUACUUUAAGUAAACUUAAAGGACGCGGUAUCCUAACUGUGAUAACGUAGCAUAAUCAUUCGCCAUUUAAUUGAUGGAUAGUAUGAACGGUGAAACGAGUAUAACACUCUCUCAGAAGAAGAUUCUAUUAAACUGAAUUAGUAGUGAAGAUGCUACUUAAAACUGUAAGACGAGAAGACCCUAUAGAGCUUGACUAUAUCUUUUUAAUCUUUUAAGUUUACUUAAUCUUCAGAAAGAAUGGUAGUUUAGUUGGGGCGACUGCUUUUUAGUAAAAACAAAAGCAAGCAACAUUAAUUGAUUGAUUUACUGUAUAAUUUAUAAAUUUAACAGUUACAAUUGUAGGCAAUAAUGACCCGCUAAUGUUGAAAAACACUAUUAGCGAACAAUAAAUAAAAGUUACCUUAGGGAUAACAGGAUAAUCUUGUUUUAGAGACCUUAUCGAAAACAAGGUUUGUCACCUCUAUGUUGAAUUAAGAUAUCCUAAAAGUGCAGCAGCUUUUAA